AGUGAACGCUGGCGGUAGGCCUAACACAUGCAAGUCGAACGGCAGCACAGUAAGAGCUUGCUCUUACGGGUGGCGAGUGGCGGACGGGUGGGGAAUACAUCGGAAUCUACUUUUUCGUGGGGAUAACGUAGGGAAACUUACGCUAAUACCGCAUACGACCUACGGGUGAAAGCAGGGGAUCUUCGGACCUUGCGCGAUUGAAUGAGCCGAUGUCGGAUUAGCUAGUUGGCGGGGUAAAGGCCCACCAAGGCGACGAUCCGUAGCUGGUCUGAGAGGAUGAUCAGCCACACUGGAACUGAGACACGGUCCAGACUCCUACGGGAGGCAGCAGUGGGGAAUAUUGGACAAUGGGCGCAAGCCUGAUCCAGCCAUACCGCGUGGGUGAAGAAGGCCUUCGGGUUGUAAAGCCCUUUUGUUGGGAGAGAAAAGCAGCAGGUUAAUACCCCGCUGUUCUGACGGUACCCAAAGAAUAAGCACCGGCUAACUUCGUG
This 491-nucleotide ribosomal RNA is filed under the name uncultured bacterium. Its description in RNAcentral is "partial 16S ribosomal RNA". It matches the Rfam family "Bacterial small subunit ribosomal RNA", at positions 29 to 507 of the family's 1533-position model. The record is from RNAcentral.